UUACAGAUGGGUUUGUUUGGGAAGAAGGUUGGAUGAUUUGGAGAAGAAAGAGUGAGGAAAAGUGGGCUCCAUUAGUUAAAUUUAAAAAAAGGAAAUAAACAUAAUUUUGAAAGGCACACUUGCUGCAAGGCGAGUGUAAUACAUACAUUUUGCCAUGUCACGAUGAAGUGUCUAUUUGACUUACUUAACAUACAUUUGAAGUGUCUAACUGAUAAAGGAGUCAGUUGAGGUGUUCAACCGGUCUUUAAGGAUAAAUACAAG
RNAcentral lists this long non-coding RNA (261 nucleotides) under Nicotiana benthamiana. RNAcentral describes it as "long non-coding RNA (NBEN_LNC007502)". The record is from RNAcentral. Lineage: Eukaryota; Viridiplantae; Streptophyta; Magnoliopsida; Solanales; Solanaceae.